GGCUUUUUGAUUUUAAUUUAAAGUCUGACCUGCCCAAUGAAAAAUUUAAUGGCUGCAGUAUUUUGACUGUACAAAGGUAGCAUAAUCAUUAGUUUUUUAAUUGAAAACUUGUAUGAAUGGUUUGAUGAGAAAAUAGCUGUCUUAAUUUUAAUUGUUAAAGAAAUUUAUUUUUAAGUUAAAAAGCUUAAAUUUUUUUAAAAGACGAGAAGACCCUAUAGAGUUUAAUAUUUUAUUUUUAUAUAUUAUUUAAGAAUUUAGAAUUUAUAUAAUAAAUUAAUUUAUUUAAUUGGGGUGAUUUAAAAAUUUAAUUAACUUUUUUAUAUUAGCUCAUUGAUUUAUGAGUAUUUGAUCCAUUAUUAAUGAUUAAAAGAAUAAAUUACCUUAGGGAUAACAGCGUAAUUUUUUUGGAGAGUUCUUAUCGAUAAAAAAGAUUGCGACCUCGAUGUUGGAUUAAAAUUUAAUGUUGGCGCAGAAGUUGACAGUUUAGGUCUGUUCGACCUUUAAAAUUUU
This 510-nucleotide ribosomal RNA is filed under the name Anacaena globulus. RNAcentral describes it as "partial 16S ribosomal RNA". The stretch from base 387 to 510 matches the Rfam family "Bacterial large subunit ribosomal RNA", at positions 2473 to 2597 of the family's 2925-position model. Lineage: Eukaryota; Metazoa; Arthropoda; Insecta; Coleoptera; Hydrophilidae. The record is from RNAcentral.